UGCAGUCGACGGUAGCAGGAAGUGCUUGCACUUUGCUGACGAGUGGCGGACGGGUGAGUAAUGCUUGGGAACUUGCCUUUGCGAGGGGGAUAACAGUUGGAAACGACUGCUAAUACCGCAUAAUGUCUACGGACCAAACGGGGCUUAGGCUUCGGCGCAGAGAGAGGCCCAAGUGAGAUUAGCUAGUUGGUGGGGUAAAGGCUCACCAAGGCGACGAUCUCUAGCUGUUCUGAGAGGAAGAUCAGCCACACUGGGACUGAGACACGGCCCAGACUCCUACGGGAGGCAGCAGUGGGGAAUAUUGCACAAUGGGGGGAACCCUGAUGCAGCCAUGCCGCGUGUGUGAAGAAGGCCUUCGGGUUGUAAAGCACUUUCAGUUGUGAGGAAAAGUGAGUAGUUAAUACCUGCUCACCGUGACGUUAACAACAGAAGAAGCACCGGCUAACUCCGUGCCAGCAGCCGCGGUAAUACGGAGGGUGCGAGCGUUAAUCGGAAUUACUGGGCGUAAAGCGCACGCAGGCGGUUUGUUAAGCUAGAUGUGAAAGCCCCGAGCUCAACUUGGGAUGGUCAUUUAGAACUGGCAGACUAGAGUCUUGGAGAGGGGAGUGGAAUUCCAGGUGUAGCGGUGAAAUGCGUAGAUAUCUGGAGGAACAUCAGUGGCGAAGGCGACUCCCUGGCCAAAGACUGACGCUCAUGUGCGAAAGUGUGGGUAGCGAACAGGAUUAGAUACCCUGGUAGUCCACACCGUAAACGCUGUCUACUAGCUGUUUGUGGCUUUAAGCCGUGAGUAGCGAAGCUAACGCGAUAAGUAGACCGCCUGGGGAGUACGGCCGCAAGGUUAAAACUCAAAUGAAUUGACGGGGGCCCGCACAAGCGGUGGAGCAUGUGGUUUAAUUCGAUGCAACGCGA
This 909-nucleotide ribosomal RNA is filed under the name Alteromonas sp. Its description in RNAcentral is "bacterial SSU rRNA". It matches the Rfam family "Bacterial small subunit ribosomal RNA", at positions 56 to 964 of the family's 1533-position model. The record is from RNAcentral. Lineage: Bacteria; Pseudomonadati; Pseudomonadota; Gammaproteobacteria; Alteromonadales; Alteromonadaceae.